UACAGAGGUCUCAACCGUUGUUCGGAUUCAUUGGGCGUAAAGGGUGCGUAGGCGGUCGUGCAAGUCGGAUGUGAAAUCUCCGGGCUUAACUCGGAAAGGUCAACUGAUACUGUGCGACUAGAGUGCGGAAGGGGCAACUGGAAUUCUCGGUGUAGCGGUGAAAUGCGUAGAUAUCGAGAGGAACACCUGCGGCGAAGGCGGGUUGCUGGGCCGACACUGACGCUGAUGCGCGAAAGCCAGGGGAGCGAACGGG
RNAcentral lists this ribosomal RNA (253 nucleotides) under uncultured bacterium. Its description in RNAcentral is "partial 16S ribosomal RNA". It matches the Rfam family "Bacterial small subunit ribosomal RNA", at positions 524 to 776 of the family's 1533-position model. The record is from RNAcentral.